GACGAACGCUGGCGGCGUGCCUAACACAUGCAAGUAGAACGCUGAAGAGAGGAGCUUACUCUUCUUGGAUGAGUUGCGAACGGGUGAGUAACGCGUAGGUAACCUGCCUUGUAGCGGGGGAUAACUAUUGGAAACGAUAGCUAAUACCGCAUAACAAUGGAUGACACAUGCCACUUAUUUGAAAGGGGCAAUUGCUCCACUACAAGAUGGACCUGCGUUGUAUUAGCUAGUAGGUGAGGUAAUGGCUCACCUAGGCGGCGAUACAUAGCCGACCUGAGAGGGUGAUCUGCCACACUGGGACUGAGACACGGCCCAGACUCCUGCGGGAGGCAGCAGUAGGGGAUUUUCGGAAAUGGGGGCAACCCUGACCGAGCAACGCCGCGUGAGUGCAGAAGGUUUUCGGGUCGUAAAGCUCUGUUGUAAGUCAAGAACGGGUGUGAGUGUGGAAAGUUCACACUGUGACGGUAGCUUAACAGAAAGGGACGGCUAACUACGUG
Molecule: ribosomal RNA, 497 nt
Filed under: uncultured bacterium
Lineage: Bacteria
Description: partial 16S ribosomal RNA
Rfam family: Bacterial small subunit ribosomal RNA
Source: RNAcentral